This 1235-nucleotide ribosomal RNA is filed under the name metagenome. RNAcentral describes it as "bacterial SSU rRNA". It matches the Rfam family "Bacterial small subunit ribosomal RNA", at positions 114 to 1353 of the family's 1533-position model. The record is from RNAcentral.
CACGUGUGCAACCAACCCCGUACCGGGAGAUAACCCGCGGAAACGUGGACUAACACCCCAUAACACCUUUCCCCCGCAUGGGGGAGAGUUUAAAAUCACGAUGGUACGGGACGGGCACGCGCGACAUUAGGUAGUUGGCGGGGUAACGGCCCACCAAGCCGACGAUGUCUAGGGGUUCUGAGAGGAAGGUCCCCCACACUGGAACUGAGACACGGUCCAGACUCCUACGGGAGGCAGCAGUGAGGAAUAUUGGUCAAUGGGCGAGAGCCUGAACCAGCCAAGUCGCGUGAGGGAAGAAUGGUCUAUGGCCUGUAAACCUCUUUUGUCAAGGAAGAAUAAGCGGCACGAGUGCCACCUUGCCAGUACUUGACGAAUAAGCAUCGGCUAACUCCGUGCCAGCAGCCGCGGUAAUACGGGGGAUGCGAGCGUUAUCCGGAUUUAUUGGGUUUAAAGGGCGCGUAGGCGGGACGUCAAGUCAGCGGUAAAAGACUGCAGCUAAACUGUAGCACGCCGUUGAAACUGUCGACCUGGAGACGAGACGAGGGAGGCGGAACAAGUGAAGUAGCGGUGAAAUGCAUAGAUAUCACUUGGAACCCCGAUAGCGAAGGCAGCUUCCCAGGCUCGAUCUGACGCUGAUGCGCGAGAGCGUGGGUAGCGAACAGGAUUAGAUACCCUGGUAGUCCACGCCGUAAACGAUGCUCACUGGAUCUUGGCGAUACACGGCCAGGGUUCAAGCGAAAGUAUUAAGUGAGCCACCUGGGGAGUACGUCGGCAACGAUGAAACUCAAAGGAAUUGACGGGGGCCCGCACAAGCGGAGGAACAUGUGGUUUAAUUCGAUGAUACGCGAGGAACCUUACCCGGGUUUAAAUGCAGGUUGCAUGAGGUGGAAACACCUCUUUCCCUCGGGACUACCUGCAAGGUGCUGCAUGGUUGUCGUCAGCUCGUGCCGUGAGGUGUCGGGUUAAGUCCCAUAACGAGCGCAACCCCUAUCGCCAGUUGCCAUCGGUUCAAGCCGGGCACUCUGUCGAGACUGCCACCGUAAGGUGCGAGGAAGGCGGGGAUGACGUCAAAUCAGCACGGCCCUUACACCCGGGGCGACACACGUGUUACAAUGGCCGGUACAGAGGGCAGCCACGGGGCGACCCGGGGCGAAUCUCUAAAGCCGGUCGUAGUUCGGACUGGAGUCUGCAACCCGACUCCACGAAGUUGGAUUCGCUAGUAAUCGCGCAUCAGC